RNAcentral lists this ribosomal RNA (413 nucleotides) under Clostridioides difficile. RNAcentral's name for it is "bacterial SSU rRNA". It matches the Rfam family "Bacterial small subunit ribosomal RNA", at positions 1 to 421 of the family's 1533-position model. Lineage: Bacteria; Bacillati; Bacillota; Clostridia; Peptostreptococcales; Peptostreptococcaceae. The record is from RNAcentral.
UUUUAUUUGAGAGUUUGAUCCUGGCUCAGGAUGAACGCUGGCGGCGUGCCUAACACAUGCAAGUUGAGCGAUUUACUUCGGUAAAGAGCGGCGGACGGGUGAGUAACGCGUGGGUAACCUACCCUGUACACACGGAUAACAUACCGAAAGGUAUGCUAAUACGGGAUAAUAUAUUUGAGAGGCAUCUCUUGAAUAUCAAAGGUGAGCCAGUACAGGAUGGACCCGCGUCUGAUUAGCUAGUUGGUAAGGUAACGGCUUACCAAGGCGACGAUCAGUAGCCGACCUGAGAGGGUGAUCGGCCACAUUGGAACUGAGACACGGUCCAAACUCCUACGGGAGGCAGCAGUGGGGAAUAUUGCACAAUGGGCGAAAGCCUGAUGCAGCAACGCCGCGUGAGUGAUGAAGGCCUUCGG